Molecule: ribosomal RNA, 492 nt
Filed under: uncultured bacterium
Lineage: Bacteria
Description: partial 16S ribosomal RNA
Rfam family: Bacterial small subunit ribosomal RNA
Source: RNAcentral
AGUGAACGCUUUCUUUAUUCCUAACACAUGCAAGUCGAACGGCAGCACAGUAAGAGCUUGCUCUUACGGGUGGCGAGUGGCGGACGGGUGAGGAAUACAUCGGAAUCUACUUUUUCGUGGGGGAUAACGUAGGGAAACUUACGCUAAUACCGCAUACGACCUACGGGUGAAAGCAGGGGAUCUUCGGACCUUGCGCGAUUGAAUGAGCCGAUGUCGGAUUAGCUAGUUGGCGGGGUAAAGGCCCACCAAGGCGACGAUCCGUAGCUGGUCUGAGAGGAUGAUCAGCCACACUGGAACUGAGACACGGUCCAGACUCCUACGGGAGGCAGCAGUGGGGAAUAUUGGACAAUGGGCGCAAGCCUGAUCCAGCCAUACCGCGUGGGUGAAGAAGGCCUUCGGGUUGUAAAGCCCUUUUGUUGGGAAAGAAAAGCAGCAGGUUAAUACCCCGCUGUUCUGGCGGUACCCAAAGAAUAAGCACCGGCUAACUUCGUG